Molecule: long non-coding RNA, 103 nt
Organism: Mizuhopecten yessoensis (Yesso scallop)
Lineage: Eukaryota; Metazoa; Mollusca; Bivalvia; Pectinida; Pectinidae
Exons: 3
Source: RefSeq, a predicted model, not a curated record
UACCCUGGAUACAUAUGUUGUCUUUACAAUAGGUAGGACACGUCUGAGUACAGGUACUACCGUGAUAUCCGGCUAGGCAUUCUGAACAAGCUCCAGUAUAGCU